This is a long non-coding RNA of Zonotrichia leucophrys gambelii, 1305 nucleotides long. RefSeq lists it as uncharacterized. The record is from RefSeq and is a predicted model, not a curated record. NCBI's taxonomy places the organism in Eukaryota, Metazoa, Chordata, Aves, Passeriformes, Passerellidae. The transcript is spliced from 4 exons.
AGAGUGUUGGAGUUUGUUGGUUGUGCUGUUAGGAAGGAGAAGUCAUCAGUGCUGUGAGGAGCUGCACAUGAGAAAUUGCUGGGAAGGUUUUGAAUGGGAGGACUUAAAGAGGCUUCUAAGCAGCAAUUUGGAGGUGGAUGGCGCAGUCUUGGGUGCUACAAGAACUUGCAAAACUACAGGACUAAGACAAGGAAGAUGAAGAUUGAUGCUCAUUAGAAAGCCUCAGGAAUUGUCUUGGAAGGGAGAGAAGCAGCUCAGGAAGAGAGAAACGGAAAAACUGUAAUAUGUACAACAAUUUUGAGAAUUGUUUAUCUCCUACACCCUCAGGGGCACUCCUGGUGAGCUGGGCUGUGCACACAGGGCUUCCCAUGGGGUUCAGCACCUGCAUUAGGUGCCUGCAAGCUCCUGCUUCCCUUCUUGGCACUACUCCACUUCCCCUUACUCUCCUUCCCUGCUGCUGGCGCCUGCAUCCCUCCCUCACAUGGUUCCUCUCUGUCAUUUUGCCUCUGCUUUUGAAGUAAUACUUACAAACGUCCUUACUGAUAUUCCCCUGCUUUUGACAAGCUAGUUCCUUCAUUUUAAAGCCUUAACUAUAUGUAGAUGUGACCCUACUAAACUAAACCAGCGAUUUUCAGCUUGGUUCAGCACGGCAGUGAGAACAUUCCUACUUUGGACUAGAGGGAGGCUGCUGAAGCCAACAUGAGGUGGCUUGAACAGCACUGAAAUAGGACAUUCCAAAGAAUGUGCUCAUAUUGUGCACAGAGUGAAGUUACCCGAGAGACACUUCUGUUGUAAAAAGGUUUUUAUGGAAAAUUAGAUGUUUACAAAACAGGGAAAGCACUGAAAUAUUUGUUUGGGUUGAUUUUCCCCCCUGAAUCAUUUAAAUGGCAAUAUGCAAAGCAAAGUAAUUUUUCUUGUAUGUCACACUGUUUCAUUAAGGCACUAACAGAAGACACUUGAUCUAGAAAUUAAGAUAAGUUGCUUCAAUCAGUACUAAGUAGCAGGUGCCCUUAGUGAUUAAAUGUAAUAGAGUAUUUCCAUUAUUCUAUUAAGCUUUAUGUCAGCAGUUGUCAUAGUUCCUCUCAUGUACUGAAAUACUGUGAAAACACAUUCAGAACAAUAUUUUGAGAUCUUGGAAUUAAUGCUUUCUGAGAGUGUAGAUAAAUAGGAUUUUCUUUGCAUGUAAAAUUUACAAAAUUUUUGUUGGAUCUACAGCAGAUUAAAAACCAGGAACCAAAAUAUUUUCUUUUCCUGUGAAGGAUGAAGUAUUAGGUUUAACAAUAGAGUAUAUUUCUGACACAGUGU